Molecule: long non-coding RNA, 1041 nt
Filed under: Homo sapiens (human)
Lineage: Eukaryota; Metazoa; Chordata; Mammalia; Primates; Hominidae
Description: non-protein coding lnc-SCIMP-1:4
Source: RNAcentral
UGAGCAGGCUUAGUGGAGCAACAAGGCUGUUUAUUCACUUGGGUGCAAGUGGGCUGAGUCAGAGAAAGGAGUCAGCGAAGGGUGGUGGGAGUGGAACUGGUUCUAUAGGUUUGGGGUAGGUAGUGGAAAGUUACAGUUAGGGGCAGUUUUUUUGGGCAGGGGAAGAAUGUUACAAGGUGCAUAGUCACAAGGUGGGGGAAGUCAUAAGGCACGAUAUCACAAGGUGGAUGGAUUAGUUGGGGAAGGGCAGGAACAUAUCACAAGGUGGAUGGAUUAAUUAGGGUAGGGAAGGAACAUAUCACAAGGUGGAUGGAUUAGUUAGGGUAGGGCAGGAACAUGUCACAGUGGUGGAUGGAUUAGUUGGGGAAGGGCAGGAACAUAUCACAAGGUGGAUGGAUUAGUUAGGGUAGGGAAGGAACAUAUCACAAGGUGGAUGGAUUAGUUAGGGUAGGGCAGGAACAUGUCACAGUGGUGGAUGGAUUAGUUAGGGUAGGGCAGGAACAUGUCACAAGGUGGAUGGAUUAGUUAGGGUAGGGCAGGAACAUGUCACAAGGUGGAUGGAUUAGUUGGGGAAGGGCAGGAACAAUCACAAGGUGGAUGGAUUAGUUGGGGAAGGGCAGGAACAUAUCACAAGGUGGAUGGAUUAGUUGGGGAAGGGCAGGAACAUGUCACAAUGGUGGAUGGAUUAGUUGGGGAAGGGCAGGAACAUGUCACAAUGGUGGAUGGAUUAGUUGGGGAAGGGCAGGAACAUAUCACAAGGUGGAUGGAUUAGUUAGGGAAGGGCAGGAACAUAUCACAAGGGUGGAUGGAUUAGUUGGGGAAGGGCAGGAACAUAUCACAAGGUGGAUGGAUUAGUUGGGGAAGGGCAGGAACAUGUCACAAUGGUGGAUGGAUUAGUUGGGGAAGGGCAGGAACAUGUCACAAUGGUGGAUGGAUUAGUUGGGGAAGGGCAGGAACAUAUCACAAGGUGGAUGGAUUAGUUGGGGAAGGGCAGGAACAUAUCACAAGGUGGAUGGAUUAGUUGGGGAAGGGCAGGAACAU